CAACCGCCAAUAAAACAUACAAGAAGAAGAAUUAUUGCGCAUGCUUAACUUUUUUGCUUAUUUAUGUUGAUGCGAACAUGUUCGAACACGUGGAUGGAUUCGAUUUCGAUGGCGAUGCCACCUGAGAUCCUGUGAGAUGACAGUUGUCACAGAAGAUGGAGAUGGGGCUUUCCUGCAGCUGUUGCUGACAUGCAAGAUUUUCAGGGGCAUUGUCAGCAAACCUAGUUUCAGAAAACAGGCUCACUUCAUCUGGCUGGACAGUGUCAUCAACUGGAGAGCAUUCUCCAAGGGACACAAAGAACAGUAUCGGGUGCCAUACACCUUGACACAUUGCCUUCACUGUGGUGAAGUCUUUAAAGACAACCCACCUGGUUACGUUGGUGAUGGCAAGAGGGGAGUCCUGCAAGGAUUUUGUACAAAAGACUUUCUUAGGUAUUGCUGAAUGGAUUGUUUUUUGAAUGAUGGAGGGGAAUUCCAAAAUGAAGAGGUCUAAUACCUGUAUUGUUUUUUACAUGACAUACAAUACAAUAACACAAAAAAUUAAAAAUGUAGCUGAAACUGUAAAAAGUUAGAACAUAUGCUUUUCUUCCGUCCUUGUGUGACCGUGUGAGCGUAAUCAACAUUGAAAUAAUAGAUGUGAAUAGGUUUUGAAAUAAAGGUAUUACAGUUAUCUGUUUUUGUUUGUUUUGUAUGUGUAAGAAGAUGUGCAUAAUAUGGGAUGCAAAGAUUUAAAAUGUACUGAAGUGAAGUAUUUGUCAAGUAUGGUGACCCAUACCCGAAAUGUGACCUCUGCUUUUAACCCAUCCAGAGAGUAGUGAACACACGCACAGCAAGUGGUGAACACACGUACACCCGGAGCAGUGGGCAGCUAUCACUGCAGCGCCCGGGGAGCAAGUGGGGUAGGUGCCUUGCUCAAGGGCACCUCAGUCGUUACCCGGCGGCCCUGAAGAUCAAACCGGCAACCUUAUGGUCACGAGUCCGACUCUCUAACCAUUAGGCCACGACUGCCCCCUUGUAUGUAUAUACUGUACGUUACCAAGCUAAAAAGGCACUUACUCAAAAACGAAUUGGGCUACUUUGGGCGUAUGCACUUAUGCUGCGUUCCAGAUGAAAACGUCACAGCGUAAGGUAAACAGGACACACAUGCGCAGUAAUGAAUGCUUGACCACAACACGUUAAGGCGCAUGCGCGCCAAAAUAUUCAUGACGUCAACAUGCAUGACGUCACUGCUACAGGCUGCAGCAAAGGGUAACUCCAUUUUUGAUGGUCUGGUCUCGGCUGUCUUUAGUCUCGGUCUCGUCUUGGUCUCAGACUUAGUGGUCUCGGGAUUUUAUUUCAAGACCACAACUGUGGGAAUUACACUAAAUUGCUGAUGCAUUGUCUGAUUUAAGUGUUAACAUAAUUCAUGUGAUUGGAUGUAAAACUUUUGGCUUUAAAAGCAUUCACCACUUGUUCCUUAUUUGAUUCUUCUGUUACUUUUGUUACUCUUACUGCUGGUAAGAGAAGAAUGGGGGAUUGUCUUAAAGAAAUCUGUCAACAAAAUGAAUACACACAAAGGCCUACAAUAUCCGAGAUGUGAUUGCAAAAAAGGUACUUGUAUGAGAUCUUGUUUUUUUAUUUUAUAACAUCUGAUGUGAUAUUGAUUUUGUAUAAUUAUUCAAUAAACCUUGAAUUAAUAACUGACUUGAGUUUUAGACACAAUUAAACACAAGUUUUUGUUCUAUUUUGGCUAGUCCCAAACAAAUCUACAACACUACCUCCACCUAAGAUUUUACAGAUGCUAUGGUGUAGGCUAUGUAUUAUUAAAAUGUUGUUUUAAAUGUGGGUUUCCCUAGUGGACAAAUAAGGUACUUCAAUAAA
Molecule: long non-coding RNA, 1860 nt
Organism: Triplophysa rosa
Lineage: Eukaryota; Metazoa; Chordata; Actinopteri; Cypriniformes; Nemacheilidae
Exons: 3
Source: RefSeq, a predicted model, not a curated record